GGGAAACUACUCGACUUAAUAACGCAUGAACCACUAACUCUUAAUGUGAGUUACCGAUUGAUCUCUCUGCUUUCUUUUCCAAUAUCAUGCAGUUAUUAACACCCCAUUUGAUUCAAAUGAAUUAGAAAUUAGAAAAAUAGAAUUCAUUUUAAGUGAAUGCUAGUUAGAAUUUGCUUGGAAAUGAAUUCUUGUGCUUAGUAUGAUACAACUUUAAAUGACGACUUCAAUUGAAUUCCCUAUACUUCAUGUUUGAUAUAAUUUUAUAACUGAAGUUCAUUUAUCCGUUCCUAAAAUAUCAUCAAUGACAAAAAAAUCCUGACUUCCUAAACAAUAUAUUGGAUUAAAUUUAUCCUUAUUAUAUAAUUUAAAAUUAAUUUAUUUUUAUUUUCAAAAGAGAGAGAGUGGGAAGGGAG
Molecule: unclassified non-coding RNA, 413 nt
Filed under: Hevea brasiliensis (rubber tree)
Lineage: Eukaryota; Viridiplantae; Streptophyta; Magnoliopsida; Malpighiales; Euphorbiaceae
Source: RNAcentral